RNAcentral lists this long non-coding RNA (360 nucleotides) under Carica papaya (papaya). RNAcentral's name for it is "long non-coding RNA (CPAP_LNC015719)". The record is from RNAcentral. Lineage: Eukaryota; Viridiplantae; Streptophyta; Magnoliopsida; Brassicales; Caricaceae.
GGGCAUAUGGAGUGACCUUCCGCACACUUAACAUGCCAUUUGUCAUGUGGGGAAUGUUCCCGCAUGUGCAGGUCGACUUCCAUAUGUGUGGGAAUAAUUGCACACAUGCCAAAUAGGUUACGUGUGUUGUACGUAUCUUCCAUUGUUCCUCGUGCCUUGGACCUUUUUUUGGGCCUCACCAAUGAUCUUGUUACUUACCCAUUCCUGCACUAACAGGUUGAAAACAUCUUGAAAUUUUCAUGCCCGGCUUCGUGUGAUUGGUCCCAUGGGUAAUUGUACUUGUUUUUCCAUUGGUCUUAGUUUGUCAUAAGAACCUUCAAUUUCCUUUGGAUAAGUUAGAGUGUCUAUUACUUUUAUUAG